This 886-nucleotide ribosomal RNA is filed under the name uncultured bacterium. Its description in RNAcentral is "bacterial SSU rRNA". It matches the Rfam family "Bacterial small subunit ribosomal RNA", at positions 8 to 853 of the family's 1533-position model. The record is from RNAcentral.
AGAGUUUGAUCAUGGCUCAGGACGAACGCUGGCGGCGUGCCUAAUACAUGCAAGUCGAGCGAGCUUGCCUAGAUGAUUUUGGUGCUUGCACUAAAUGAAACUAGAUACAAGCGAGCGGCGGACGGGUGAGUAACACGUGGGUAACCUGCCCAAGAGACUGGGAUAACACCUGGAAACAGAUGCUAAUACCGGAUAACAGCACUAGACGCAUGUCUAGAGUUUGAAAGAUGGUUCUGCUAUCACUCUUGGAUGGACCUGCGGUGUAUUAGCUAGUUGGUAAGGUAACGGCUUACCAAGGCAAUGAUGCAUAGCCGAGUUGAGAGACUGAUCGGCCACAUUGGGACUGAGACACGGCCCAAACUCCUACGGGAGGCAGCAGUAGGGAAUCUUCCACAAUGGACGAAAGUCUGAUGGAGCAACGCCGCGUGAGUGAAGAAGGGUUUCGGCUCGUAAAGCUCUGUUGGUAGUGAAGAAAGAUAGAGGUAGUAACUGGCCUUUAUUUGACGGUAAUUACUUAGAAAGUCACGGCUAACUACGUGCCAGCAGCCGCGGUAAUACGUAGGUGGCAAGCGUUGUCCGGAUUUAUUGGGCGUAAAGCGAGUGCAGGCGGUUCAAUAAGUCUGAUGUGAAAGCCUUCGGCUCAACCGGAGAAUUGCAUCAGAAACUGUUGAACUUGAGUGCAGAAGAGGAGAGUGGAACUCCAUGUGUAGCGGUGGAAUGCGUAGAUAUAUGGAAGAACACCAGUGGCGAAGGCGGCUCUCUGGUCUGCAACUGACGCUGAGGCUCGAAAGCAUGGGUAGCGAACAGGAUUAGAUACCCUGGUAGUCCAUGCCGUAAACGAUGAGUGCUAAGUGUUGGGAGGUUUCCGCCUCUCAGUGCUGCAGCU